Molecule: ribosomal RNA, 399 nt
Filed under: uncultured bacterium
Lineage: Bacteria
Description: bacterial SSU rRNA
Rfam family: Bacterial small subunit ribosomal RNA
Source: RNAcentral
AUUGAACGCUGGCGGCAUGCUUUACACAUGCAAGUCGAACGGCAGCACGGGGGCAACCCUGGUGGCGAGUGGCGAACGGGUGAGUAAUAUAUCGGAACGUACCCGGAAAUGGGGGAUAACGUAGCGAAAGUUACGCUAAUACCGCAUAUGCCCUAAGGGGGAAAGCGGGGGAUUCGCAAGAACCUCGCGUUUUCGGAGCGGCCGAUAUCGGAUUAGCUAGUAGGUGAGGUAAAGGCUCACCUAGGCGACGAUCCGUAGCUGGUCUGAGAGGACGACCAGCCACACUGGAACUGAGACACGGUCCAGACUCCUACGGGAGGCAGCAGUGGGGAAUUUUGGACAAUGGGCGCAAGCCUGAUCCAGCCAUGCCGCGUGAGUGAAGAAGGCCUCGGUUGUAAG